CCUACGGGAUGCAGCAGUGGGGAAUCUUCGGCAAUGGACGAAAGUCUGACCGAGCAACGCCGCGUGAGUGAAGAAGGUUUUCGGAUCGUAAAACUCUGUUGUUAGAGAAGAACAAGGACGUUAGUAACUGAACGUCCCCUGACGGUAUCUAACCAGAAAGCCACGGCUAACUACGCGCCAGCAGCCGCGGUAAUACGUAGGUGGCAAGCGUUGUCCGGAUUUAUUGGGCGUAAAGCGAGCGCAGGCGGUUUCUUAAGUCUGAUGUGAAAGCCCCCGGCUCAACCGGGGAGGGUCAUUGGAAACUGGGGAACUUGAGUGCAGAAGAGGAGAGUGGAAUUCCACGUGUAGCGGUGAAAUGCGUAGAGAUGCGGAGGAACACCAGUGGCGAAGGCGACUCUCUGGUCUGUAACUGACGCUGAGGAGCGAAAGCGUGGGGAGCGAACAGGAUUAGAUACCCGGGUAGUC
This 465-nucleotide ribosomal RNA is filed under the name uncultured bacterium. RNAcentral's name for it is "bacterial SSU rRNA". It matches the Rfam family "Bacterial small subunit ribosomal RNA", at positions 338 to 795 of the family's 1533-position model. The record is from RNAcentral.